This 65-nucleotide transfer RNA is filed under the name marine eukaryotic metagenome. It matches the Rfam family "tRNA", at positions 5 to 66 of the family's 71-position model. Rfam says of the family: Transfer RNA (tRNA) molecules are approximately 80 nucleotides in length. Their secondary structure includes four short double-helical elements and three loops (D, anti-codon, and T loops). The record is from RNAcentral.
CGUUAGCUCAGUUGGUAGAGCAGCUGACUCUUAAUCAGCGGGUCGUAGGUUCGAUCCCUACACGG